UUCUGAGUAUUCUUGCUCACGGUGCCUAGAGAGAUAUCAGCUAUGCCUCACUGACGAUGCCUAACAAGGCUGAAACGAUCGUCUGGGGUUGCUGUAUCUCUCGUGCAGAGAGAACUUGCUGGCAUUUCGGAUCUGGACUGCUCGUAUGGGUGGGACCAGUCUGAUAUGCUUCAGAUAUGUUCUCUCUGUAAUGGCACAAGUUGAGCUAAA
Pelobates cultripes (western spadefoot toad) is the source of this 210-nucleotide non-coding RNA. NCBI's taxonomy places the organism in Eukaryota, Metazoa, Chordata, Amphibia, Anura, Pelobatidae. The record is from the annotation of a GenBank genome assembly.